CACCAGACUCCUACGGGAGGCAGCAGUGGGGGAUAUUGCACAAUGGGGGGAACCCUGAUGCAGCGACGCCGCGUGGGUGAAGGAGCGUUUCGGCGCGUAAAGCCCUAUCGGCAGGGAAGAAGGAGGACGGUACCUGACUAAGAAGCCCCGGCUAACUACGUGCCAGCAGCCGCGGUAAUACGUAGGGGGCAAGCGUUAUCCGGAUUUACUGGGGGUAAAGGGGGCGCAGACGGCAGCGCAAGCCAGGAGUGAAAGCCCGGGGCCCAACCCCGGGACUGCUCUUGGAACUGCGCGGCUGGAGUGCAGGAGGGGCAGGCGGAAUUCCUGGUGUAGCGGCGAAAUGCGUAGAUAUCAGGAGGAACACCGGCGGCGAAGGCGGCCUGCUGGACCGCGACUGACGUUGAGGCUCGAAAGCGUGGGGAGCGAACAGGAUUAGAUACCCCGGUAGC
RNAcentral lists this ribosomal RNA (449 nucleotides) under uncultured bacterium. Its description in RNAcentral is "bacterial SSU rRNA". It matches the Rfam family "Bacterial small subunit ribosomal RNA", at positions 329 to 794 of the family's 1533-position model. The record is from RNAcentral.